UACGUAGGGUGCGAGCGUUAAUCGGAAUUACUGGGCGUAAAGCGUGCGCAGGCGGCUUUGCAAGACAGAUGUGAAAUCCCCGGGCUCAACCUGGGAACUGCAUUUGUGACUACAAGGCUAGAGUACGGCAGAGGGGGAUGGAAUUCCGCGUGUAGCAGUGAAAUGCGUAGAUAUGCGGAGGAACACCAAUGGCGAAGGCAAUCCCCUGGGCCUGUACUGACGCUCAUGCACGAAAGCGUGGGGAGCAAACAGG
RNAcentral lists this ribosomal RNA (253 nucleotides) under uncultured bacterium. RNAcentral's name for it is "partial 16S ribosomal RNA". It matches the Rfam family "Bacterial small subunit ribosomal RNA", at positions 524 to 776 of the family's 1533-position model. The record is from RNAcentral.